This 726-nucleotide long non-coding RNA is filed under the name Populus tremula. RNAcentral's name for it is "long non-coding RNA (PTRE_LNC002956)". The record is from RNAcentral. Lineage: Eukaryota; Viridiplantae; Streptophyta; Magnoliopsida; Malpighiales; Salicaceae.
AAAAGAAUAGAGGUAAUAAAGGAGGUUUUAUGUCUUCAAUGGGCUCUGGAAGAAUUGAGAGCAGCUUUAAUGAUAUGAGCAUUUCCAGUGGCGGAGGAGGUGGUUUUGGGAGUGGAUCUGGGUUUGGAUUGACCAGUGAUGUUGACUCAUUUUCCAGCAAGCCUAAAGGUUUGUUUCUGCAUUUCUGGGCCAACUAUAGACAUUGCUUCUGAUUUUGAUAACUAGCAGAUUAGAUUUGUCUGGUAGAUGUAAGUAUGAUUUGUAAUAACUCUUAAAAGUUUCUAAGAAAAAAUGUUUUACACUUGAACUUCUUGACCGUUUGAAAUUUUUUAACGAGGUUAUAAAUCCUCAUCUAAUUAAUUCUGUUUGCUGCAACCUAUUUUUGAACAUUAUUAUUUGAAUUGUCUCUGGAAAAUAUGGUUUCAAUUAUUGGGGAGUUUACUUUUGAUUGCAUAUAUCUGGCAUCACCAGGUCGUCAACCUUCAUCUGCCACUGCUCCUCCCAAAGGCCUUGGCAUGAAGCUCGGCAAAACCCAAAGAACAAACCAGUUUUUGGAAUCCUUGAAAGCAGAAGGUGAAAUGAUCGUUGAAGAUGUGCAGCCAUCAAAGUCAACCCAGUAUACAUCAGCUGCUCAAAAACUAACUGAUCCUGUCACUUUGACUGCUGAGGAGAAACUCAAUGUCACUCUAAAACGGGAUGGUGGAAUGAGUCACUUUGAUGUUCAAG